RNAcentral lists this ribosomal RNA (206 nucleotides) under Acinetobacter baumannii. Its description in RNAcentral is "partial 16S ribosomal RNA". It matches the Rfam family "Bacterial small subunit ribosomal RNA", at positions 1328 to 1533 of the family's 1533-position model. The record is from RNAcentral. Lineage: Bacteria; Pseudomonadati; Pseudomonadota; Gammaproteobacteria; Moraxellales; Moraxellaceae.
GGAAUCGCUAGUAAUCGCGGAUCAGAAUGCCGCGGUGAAUACGUUCCCGGGCCUUGUACACACCGCCCGUCACACCAUGGGAGUUUGUUGCACCAGAAGUAGCUAGCCUAACUGCAAAGAGGGCGGUUACCACGGUGUGGCCGAUGACUGGGGUGAAGUCGUAACAAGGUAGCCGUAGGGGAACCUGCGGCUGGAUCACCUCCUUA